GACGAACCGAGCGAACGUUGUUCGGAAUCACUGGGCUUAAAGGGCGCGUAGGCGGGCGCUCAAGUCCGUGGUGAAAUCCUCCGGCUCAACCGGGGAACUGCCAUGGAUACUGGGUGUCUCGAGGGUGAUAGGGGUAUGCGGAACUAUCGGUGGAGCGGUGAAAUGCGUUGAUAUCGAUAGGAACUCCGGUGGCGAAGGCGGCAUACUGGAUCACAUCUGACGCUGAGGCGCGAAAGCCAGGGGAGCAAACGGG
RNAcentral lists this ribosomal RNA (253 nucleotides) under uncultured bacterium. Its description in RNAcentral is "partial 16S ribosomal RNA". It matches the Rfam family "Bacterial small subunit ribosomal RNA", at positions 524 to 776 of the family's 1533-position model. The record is from RNAcentral.